RNAcentral lists this unclassified non-coding RNA (408 nucleotides) under uncultured fungus. RNAcentral describes it as "partial contains small subunit ribosomal RNA, internal transcribed spacer 1, and 5.8S ribosomal RNA". The stretch from base 1 to 73 matches the Rfam family "Eukaryotic small subunit ribosomal RNA", at positions 1759 to 1831 of the family's 1831-position model. Lineage: Eukaryota; Fungi. The record is from RNAcentral.
GCAAACUUGGUCAUUUAGAGGAAGUAAAAGUCGUAACAAGGUUUCCGUAGGUGAACCUGCGGAAGGAUCAUUAAUGAAUAAAUAAACCAGGUGGUGAGUUGUAGCUGGCUCUUCGGAGCAUGUGCACGCUCAUCAUCAUUUAUUCAUCCACCUGUGCACAAUCUGUAGACUUGAGAGAGAUUAGAGUGACUGACCUUUAUCAAUCGACAACCUUGUCGGAUGUUAGGAUUGCUUAUUUAUUGGGCUAUCCUUUACUUGAAGUAAAGUCAUGACUUUCCCUUGAGUCUAUGUAUUUAUAAACUACAUAGUAUGUCGCAGAAUGUAAUAGAUGGGCCUUUGUGCCUAUAUAAAAUCUAUACAACUUUCAGCAACGGAUCUCUUGGCUCUCGCAUCGAUGAAGAACGCAGC